Molecule: small RNA, 76 nt
Filed under: Sphingobium indicum
Lineage: Bacteria; Pseudomonadati; Pseudomonadota; Alphaproteobacteria; Sphingomonadales; Sphingobiaceae
Also listed under: 2 other names
Description: suhB
Rfam family: Makes More Granules Regulator RNA (mmgR)
About the family: SuhB later renamed mmgR (makes more granules regulator) was a putative non-coding RNA found multiple times in the Agrobacterium tumefaciens genome and related alpha-proteobacteria.
Source: RNAcentral
AGAAAAGGCCUUUCAGGCAUCCUCUCCUAGAAACUUUCAGGGCUGGCCUUCGGACCAGCCCUUUUUUUAUUCGUCC